Molecule: unclassified non-coding RNA, 229 nt
Filed under: Hevea brasiliensis (rubber tree)
Lineage: Eukaryota; Viridiplantae; Streptophyta; Magnoliopsida; Malpighiales; Euphorbiaceae
Source: RNAcentral
GGGAAACCGAGACGGUGGGAGAUUAUUGCAGAGGCGUUUGGUGGAAGGCAUAAAGUGGAGAGUGUGAUUAAAAUGGCUAAGGAAAUGGGAGAGAAGAAAUUAGGUGAUGAGGAUUCUUAUGCUCAAUUUCUGAAGAAGAGGAAACCAAUGGAUAAGAGAAUUGAGAAUGUCAAUGAAGAAGGCGGCGCCACCGCUGCUGCCACCGCCGACGGUUGGAGUUCUGGUGAGG